AUCAGCUUAUUUUUCAAAACAUUGUGAAAAUCUAUCCUGCUGUAAAGUAUUGUACAAAUUAAGAUCAAAAGAAAGGGAAAUUUGUAAAUUGAAAAAAAAAUUAAUGACACAUAGACAUCUUUUUUAUAGAUCACAUGUGUUUUCAAAAGUAUAAAGUAAUAGUGGUUCAAAAAUGAAAUUAUCUUGUAGCACAGUCAGCUACUUUUUACACAAAACACCUGAAUUUAAAAGUCAUUAUCUAAGGGUUGAUGCCCCAAAUUAUGAGGCU
This is a long non-coding RNA of Nanorana parkeri, 268 nucleotides long. RefSeq lists it as uncharacterized. The record is from RefSeq and is a predicted model, not a curated record. The transcript has 3 exons. NCBI's taxonomy places the organism in Eukaryota, Metazoa, Chordata, Amphibia, Anura, Dicroglossidae.